GAGUGAACGCUGGCGGUAGGCCUACCACAUGCAAGUCGAACGGCAGCACAGUAAGAGCUUGCUCUUACGGGUGGCGAGUGGCGGACGGGUGAGGAAUACAUCGGAAUCUACUUUUUCGUGGGGGAUAACGUAGGGAAACUUACGCUAAUACCGCAUACGACCUACGGGUGAAGGCAGGGGAUCUUCGGACCUUGCGCGAUUGAAUGAGCCGAUGUCGGAUUAGCUAGUUGGCGGGGUAAAGGCCCACCAAGGCGACGAUCCGUAGCUGGUCUGAGAGGAUGAUCAGCCACACUGGAACUGAGACACGGUCCAGACUCCUACGGGAGGCAGCAGUGGGGAAUAUUGGACAAUGGGCGCAAGCCUGAUCCAGCCAUACCGCGUGGGUGAAGAAGGCCUGCGGGUUGUAAAGCCCUUUUGUUGGGAAAGAAAAGCAGCAGGUUAAUACCCCGCUGUUCUGACGGUACCCAAAGAAUAAGCACCGGCUAACUUCGU
This 492-nucleotide ribosomal RNA is filed under the name uncultured bacterium. Its description in RNAcentral is "partial 16S ribosomal RNA". It matches the Rfam family "Bacterial small subunit ribosomal RNA", at positions 27 to 506 of the family's 1533-position model. The record is from RNAcentral.